UACGUAGGGAGCGAGCGUUGUCCGGAAUUACUGGGCGUAAAGGGUGCGUAGGCGGCAUGGCGAGUCAGAUGUGAAAUACCCGGGCUUAACCCGGGGGGUGCAUUUGAAACUGCUGUGCUUGAGUGCAGGAGAGGAAAGCGGAAUUCCUAGUGUAGCGGUGAAAUGCGUAGAUAUUAGGAGGAACACCAGUGGCGAAGGCGGCUUUCUGGACUGUAACUGACGCUGAGGCACGAAAGCGUGGGGAGCAAACAGGAUUAGAUACCCUGGUA
RNAcentral lists this ribosomal RNA (269 nucleotides) under uncultured prokaryote. RNAcentral's name for it is "partial 16S ribosomal RNA". It matches the Rfam family "Bacterial small subunit ribosomal RNA", at positions 524 to 792 of the family's 1533-position model. The record is from RNAcentral.